This is a non-coding RNA of Pelobates cultripes (western spadefoot toad), 217 nucleotides long. The record is from the annotation of a GenBank genome assembly. Lineage: Eukaryota; Metazoa; Chordata; Amphibia; Anura; Pelobatidae.
UCCAGUAUCCUGAAAAGGCCUAAAAUUAUAAUUCCAGAAGCUAAGAUAGAGACAUAUAAAUAAUAUCUACACAUGAAAGUCUGAUGAAUUAUAUUAGUGCUGAAUACGGAAAGUCGGCUCUAUGUAAUCUCCUUUUAAUAGAAUCUCCAUAAUAAAUUUAAACAGUUAUGCAAGCAACGAGUAUCAAGCUAAUAUUUCUACUAGUGUUUAUAAUAGC